This is an RNA transcript of Cucurbita moschata (crookneck pumpkin), 1751 nucleotides long. It is a transcript of the gene named urease accessory protein F, with no coding region annotated. The transcript has 3 exons. NCBI's taxonomy places the organism in Eukaryota, Viridiplantae, Streptophyta, Magnoliopsida, Cucurbitales, Cucurbitaceae. The record is from RefSeq and is a predicted model, not a curated record.
AAACUGUGGUCCGCUCGCAGAAUCCCGUCUACUCAGAACGCGAAUCUCCGACUACCAGGCGACGGCGACGGCGACGGCGUUUCGUUUCUGAAACUUCAGCGACGGCGACGGCGACGGCGUUUCGUUUCUGAAACUUCAGCGACGGCGAAUACCUCCAUAUGGUGUAUAAAGAAUAAAGAAUAUAUGCAACAGUCCAAACUCGACAUGGAUGACAAACAAUUUCACUGGAGCCAGUGGCAACUGCUCGAUUCUAUCCUUCCUACUGGUGGCUUUGCACAUUCGUUCGGUCUCGAGGCUGCAAUUCAAGCUCGCAUUGUCUCACAACCAGAAGAUCUCAAAACGUUUGUGAUCCAUUUGUUAGACAACACUGGAAGUUUGCUUCUUCCUUUUGUGCAUUCGACCACGCUAUCACCUGAUUUAGAAACUUGGGAGAAAAAUGACAGAUUCUUGAAUGCAAUUUUGACAAAUGAAGUUAGUCGAAAGGCGUCCGUUACGCAAGGAUCAGCACUCAUGAGAGUUGCAGCAAUAGUAUUUUCUGAAAUCUCGUCUCUGAAAGCGAUGAGAGAAACCACCACAGGGACUGGGGCUGUUUCCUUCCACCACGCUCCCAUAUUCGGGCUAAUCUGCGGUCUACUAGGAUGGGAUAGCACGAUGUCGCAGAGGGCAUAUCUGUUUAUUACCCUGAGAGACGUGAUUUCUGCUGCAACAAGACUGAAUUUAGUAGGACCCUUGGGUGCAGCUGUGUUGCAGCAUCAGCUUGCGCUUGUUGCUGAAGACACAUUGAAAAAAUGGAUGAACCGUCCUGUUGAAGAAGCUUGCCAAACGGUUCCUCUGUUAGAGACAGUACAGGGAUGCCAUACGUACCUGUUUUCUAGGCUGUUCUGUUCUUGAAAAGUUUUGAAGUGUCCAAUUCUUUGCUUCCUGUGAUGUUGGGCAUACGAGGCGGCCCUUCUUUCCUGUGUUCGUAUUUUCGUCCAAUUCCAUACGAACACGUGAACAUGAUCGAACCUAUGUAUAAGGCACCUGACUCCCAUCAAUUGCGUGUGUAGUGUCACAAUCGCACUCUUGCGGUAGCGAGACAACGAUCGAACAGGUUAGUUGUGAGAAAUUUAGACUUCGUGGACAAUGUCAGUAUAUUCUUGAGCUUCUGGUCAUGUUUGCGAGAGAUGCUUUAGAAAACGUGAGCAAGAAAAUACAUUUGCCUUAAAUAGUAUGCAAUUCAGGGUAGGAAGAAUUGACUACUAGUUGCAUUAUCUAUGGUACAUUUUGAAGCAUUUUAGCACUAGCGGGUGUAGACAUGAUUUUGGUGUAUGGUCAUAUAUCCUUAUAUUGACACAACAUGGAAUAGUAAUGACCUAUCUAAGGGGUUUGGAAUGGGCGUGCAGCAAUGGACAACACGUCCUAGACAAAUAUGAUUGGGGCAUCCGACAUGUGGUCAUAGGCAACACGUCUUGGACAAGCAUGACCGUGACAUGUGGCGUGCAUAGUGUCAAAUACCAUUCUUGUUGACACUGGUCAUGCUCAUCAGAUUAAGUUGAAAGAACUCAAACCAAUAAUUGCCAAACUAUCUCCGAUUUGUGGUCAUAGAGCACAGUUCAUGACAUGGUCAUGUCUUCAAACUCAACUAAGGUGACCUACGAUGUUCUUCAAGUACAGCUAGAUUUUCUCCAGCUCCAUCUGCAAUAGUUGUUUUCCUCUUUUGCCAUUCAUGUCAUUGAAACUUCUUUUCCUAACAUAAGACUGAUUUCUCC